RNAcentral lists this long non-coding RNA (1273 nucleotides) under Rhinopithecus bieti (black snub-nosed monkey). RNAcentral describes it as "lncRNA (ENSRBIG00000045670.1)". Lineage: Eukaryota; Metazoa; Chordata; Mammalia; Primates; Cercopithecidae. The record is from RNAcentral.
UCACAAGGACUUUUGAUGGGCAGUAAGUGCCCUGGUGACAUAGGGUCACAUCCUGUUACUCGAGCAGGCAGGUCCUGGGUAGAUCCCAGGGAGGUGGGUUGGUAAAGGAUAAAGAGCUCCUGGGUGGUCAGCAGCUGGCUGCAGUUCCCCAGGAAACAGCUUCUGGCAGACACUCAAUCUCCAGUUGUAACAGGUGGUGUGGAGUCCGCUGGCCCAGAAAGUGGGCUGAAGGCCUAGUCCUGCCAAUGAACUUGCUGUAUAAACUUUUCUGUCUAUCAAAUGAGCUUCUCCAUUUCCACUUCUGCAAACUCUGGACUCUAAGGACCCAAGAUGGCUGGAAACAAGAUGGCGGAGAACCUAAUUUUGUUGGAAUGAAACGCAACAUGUCAGGAGCAGGAAAUUAAUUCUGAUUGAUCUGAGCCAGCCAUGGAAAUCCUGUGGACAGUCUUGGAGUAAGCAUUGGAAGCAGUCCUGACAGUUGAGGCUUUGGUGGAGGUCUGCUGAGGAUUUCUGGGAAGGAUGUUCCUUUCUGUUAAAAGAGAGAAACUUUCCCACCUCCCAACUUCUUUUCUCUCACACACAUAUUCUUCCAGCCUUUGGACAUUGCUGUGCUAGAAUGUGACAUUUGAAGUUGCAGCAGCCAUUUUUAGAUCAUGAGGAAUCCUUCAGAAGCUUAGAGGCAUUUGAACCAGAGCAACUCCAUCUUGAGUAGGGGCUACAUGAAAUAAGGCUGAGACCUACUGGGCUGUGUUCUUAUGCAAUUAGGCAUUCUAAGUCACAGGAUGAGACAAGAGGUCGGCACAAGAUACAGGUCAUAAAGACCUUUCUGAUAAAACAGGUUGCAGUAAAGAAGCCGGCUAAAACCCACCAAAACCAAGAUGGCGAUGAGAGUGACCUCUGAUCAUCCUCACUGCUACACACCCACCAGCGCCCUGACAGUUUACAAAUGCCAUGGCAACAUCAGGAAGGUACCCUAUAUGGUCUAAAAGGAGAGGCAUGAAUAAUCCACCCCUUGUUUAGCAUAUGAUCAAGAAAUAACCAUAAAAACGGGCAACCAGCCAUUCUCAGGACUGCUCUGUCCAUGGAGUAGCCUUUCUUUCUUCCCUCAUUUUCCUAAUAAAUUUGCUUUCACUUUACUAUGCGGACUCGCCCUGAAUUUGUUCUUGCACGAGAUCGAAGAACCCUCUCUUGGGGUCUGGACUGGGACCCCUGUCCAGUUACAAGCUAAUCCAAUACCCCAGAACUGAGAUGCUGAAACAGCCAACCCUGAAAC